UACGUAGGGGGCGAGCGUUACCCGGAUUCACUGGGCGUAAAGCGGGUGUAGGCGGCUCGGAAAGUCGGGUGUGAAAUCCCACAGCUCAACUGUGGAACUGCGCCCGAAACUGCUGAGCUUGGGGCCGGUAGAGGGAGACGGAACUGCCGGUGUAGGGGUGAAAUCCGUAGAUAUCGGCAGGAACGCCGGUGGGGAAGCCGGUCUCCUGGGCCGCGCCCGACGCUGAGACCCGAAAGCUAGGGGAGCAAACCGG
RNAcentral lists this ribosomal RNA (253 nucleotides) under uncultured microorganism. Its description in RNAcentral is "partial 16S ribosomal RNA". It matches the Rfam family "Bacterial small subunit ribosomal RNA", at positions 524 to 776 of the family's 1533-position model. The record is from RNAcentral.